Molecule: ribosomal RNA, 465 nt
Filed under: uncultured bacterium
Lineage: Bacteria
Description: bacterial SSU rRNA
Rfam family: Bacterial small subunit ribosomal RNA
Source: RNAcentral
AGGGUGGGUAGUCCGCACGAGCGCACCCUGUUUUUAGUUGCCAGCACAUUAUGGUGGGGACUCUAAAAAGACUGCCUGCGUAAGCAGAGAGGAAGGAGGGGACGACGUCAAAUCAGCAUGGCCCUUACGCCUAGGGCUACACACGUGCUACAAUGGCGUAUACAAAGGGUUGCGAGCCAGUGAUGGUAAGCCAAUCUCUAAAAGUACGUCUCAGUUCGGAUUGAAGUCUGCAACUCGACUUCAUGAAGCUGGAAUCGCUAGUAAUCGUGUAUCAGCAAUGACACGAUGAAUACGUUCCCGGACCUUGUACACACCGCCCGUCAAGCCAUGGAAGCUGGAUAUACCUGAAGAUGGUUGCUUUAAAGCGCUGUUUAGGGUAGAGCUAGUAACUGGGGCUAAGUCGUAACAAGGUAGCCGUACCGGAAGGUGUGGCUGGAAUACCUCUUUUCUAGAGACUUGGUUGCU